GUGCCCUUAGUUUAAUGGUAGAAUGUUGCUCUCCAAAAGCAAAGGUAGUAGUUCGAUUCUAUUAGGGUAUGCUACA
This 76-nucleotide transfer RNA is filed under the name Crassvirales sp. RNAcentral describes it as "tRNA-Trp". It matches the Rfam family "tRNA". From Rfam's summary of the family: Transfer RNA (tRNA) molecules are approximately 80 nucleotides in length. Their secondary structure includes four short double-helical elements and three loops (D, anti-codon, and T loops). The record is from RNAcentral. Lineage: Duplodnaviria; Heunggongvirae; Uroviricota; Caudoviricetes; Crassvirales.